ACGAACGCUGGCGGCGUGCCUAAUACCUGCAAGUUGAGCGCUGAAGGUUGGUACUUGUACCAACUGGAUGAGCAGCGAACGGGUGAGUAACGCGUGGGGAAUCUGCCUUUGAGCGGGGGACAACAUUUGGAAACGAAUGCUAAUACCGCAUAAAAACUUUAAACACAAGUUUUAAGUUUGAAAGAUGCAAUUGCAUCACUCAAAGAUGAUCCCGCGUUGUAUUAGCUAGUUGGUGAGGUAAAGGCUCACCAAGGCGAUGAUACAUAGCCGACCUGAGAGGGUGAUCGGCCACAUUGGGACUGAGACACGGCCCAAACUCCUACGGGAGGCAGCAGUAGGGAAUCUUCGGCAAUGGACGAAAGUCUGACCGAGCAACGCCGCGUGAGUGAAGAAGGUUUUCGGAUCGUAAAACUCUGUUGGUAGAGAAGAACGUUGGUGAGAGCGGAAAGCUCAUCAAGUGACGGUAACUACCCAGAAAGGGACGGCUAACUACGUG
This 496-nucleotide ribosomal RNA is filed under the name uncultured bacterium. Its description in RNAcentral is "partial 16S ribosomal RNA". It matches the Rfam family "Bacterial small subunit ribosomal RNA", at positions 29 to 507 of the family's 1533-position model. The record is from RNAcentral.